RNAcentral lists this ribosomal RNA (468 nucleotides) under uncultured bacterium. Its description in RNAcentral is "partial 16S ribosomal RNA". It matches the Rfam family "Bacterial small subunit ribosomal RNA", at positions 28 to 507 of the family's 1533-position model. The record is from RNAcentral.
GACGAACGCUGGCGGCGUGCUUAACACAUGCAAGUCGAACGGAAAGGCCCUGCUUUUGUGGGGUGCUCGAGUGGCGAACGGGUGAGUAACACGUGAGUAACCUGCCCUUGACUUUGGGAUAACUUCAGGAAACUGGGGCUACUACCGGAUAGGAGCUCCUGCUGCAUGGUGGGGGUUGGAAAGUUUCGGCGGUUGGGGAUGGACUCGCGGCUUAUCAGCUUGUUGGUGGGGUAGUGGCUUACCAAGGCUUUGACGGGUAGCCGGCCUGAGAGGGUGACCGGCCACAUUGGGACUGAGAUACGGCCCAGACUCCUACGGGAGGCAGCAGUGGGGAAUAUUGCAUAAUGGGCGGAAGCCUGAUGCAGCAACGCCGCGUGCGGGAUGACGGCCUUCGGGUUGUAAACCGCUUUCGCCUGUGACGAAGCGUGAGUGACGGUAAUGGGUAAAGAAGCACCGGCUAACUACGUG